Molecule: transfer RNA, 76 nt
Filed under: Acholeplasmatales bacterium
Lineage: Bacteria; Bacillati; Mycoplasmatota; Mollicutes; Acholeplasmatales
Description: tRNA-Lys
Rfam family: tRNA
About the family: Transfer RNA (tRNA) molecules are approximately 80 nucleotides in length. Their secondary structure includes four short double-helical elements and three loops (D, anti-codon, and T loops).
Source: RNAcentral
GCUUCCUUAGCUCAGUUGGCAGAGCAACUGACUCUUAAUCAGUGGGUCCACGGUUCGAGCCCGUGAGGGAGUACCA